This 377-nucleotide ribosomal RNA is filed under the name uncultured Chloroflexota bacterium. RNAcentral describes it as "bacterial SSU rRNA". It matches the Rfam family "Bacterial small subunit ribosomal RNA", at positions 521 to 896 of the family's 1533-position model. The record is from RNAcentral. Lineage: Bacteria; Bacillati; Chloroflexota.
UAAUACGUAGGUGGCAAGCGUUGUCCGGAUUUACUGGGCGUAAAGGGCGCGCAGGUGGCUCAUCAAGUCUGGGGUGAAAUCUCCCGGCUCAACCGGGAGGGGUCUCUGGAUACUGAUGGGCUAGAGGGAAGCAGAGGAGAGCGGAAUUCCCGGUGUAGCGGUGAUAUGCGUAGAUAUCGGGAGGAACACCAGUGGCGAAGGCGGCUCUCUGGGCUUUUCCUGACGCUGAGGCGCGAAAGCGUGGGGAGCAAACCGGAUUAGAUACCCGGGUAGUCCACGCCGUAAACGUUGGGUACUAGGUGUGGGGGGUAUUGACCCCCUCCGUGCCGUAGUUAACGCAAUAAGUACCCCGCCUGGGGAGUACGACCGCAAGGUUA